GCCUGGACAAUCUCCAGUUUAUCAUUCUGGGAGGAGGGAUGGACCACUAAUAAGAAGCCUUGAUUCAACAUUGCUUCAGACUACAUGACCCAGAGGACACCCAGAUGCUUCACAUAAGAAAUGCAGAAGCCAUCUCCUCUUAUGCCAACUGCCUCAUCAAGCCUCCUGCACAAUGCACAGGUGGGCUCAUAAUCCAGCCUGGGUGUGAAUGAUAUGGCGGGUGCUGAUGACUUUGUGUCACCUCCACAGGAGCCAGCUGAGUUUUCCAUGCACACGUCUACCUCCUGGUAAACACAUCAGUCCAUAUGCAGUGCAGGCUACCUCUCAAAGUGCAGGAAAAAUAAGCAGAG
Molecule: long non-coding RNA, 350 nt
Organism: Cygnus olor (mute swan)
Lineage: Eukaryota; Metazoa; Chordata; Aves; Anseriformes; Anatidae
Exons: 4
Source: RefSeq, a predicted model, not a curated record